AGCUUUUCGAAUCCGUGCUGAGAUUUCGUCGGUUACCAACCCAUUAGGGCUGAUCAGACUUCCAACAUAAGUAAAGUU
Molecule: microRNA precursor, 78 nt
Filed under: Schistosoma margrebowiei
Lineage: Eukaryota; Metazoa; Platyhelminthes; Trematoda; Strigeidida; Schistosomatidae
Description: mir-3492 microRNA precursor family
Rfam family: mir-3492 microRNA precursor family
Source: Rfam by way of RNAcentral